Molecule: transfer RNA, 79 nt
Filed under: Blumeria hordei DH14
Lineage: Eukaryota; Fungi; Ascomycota; Leotiomycetes; Helotiales; Erysiphaceae
Also listed under: 3 other names
Description: tRNA-Leu (TAG) (tRNA-Leu-TAG-1 1 to 9)
Rfam family: tRNA
About the family: Transfer RNA (tRNA) molecules are approximately 80 nucleotides in length. Their secondary structure includes four short double-helical elements and three loops (D, anti-codon, and T loops).
Source: RNAcentral
GGGGUUCUGGCCGAGUGGUUAAGGCGCUGUGUUUAGGCCGCAGUGGGAAACCGCGCAGGUUCGAAUCCUGCGGACCUCA